CGGGGCGUAGCUCAGCUUGGUUAGAGCGCUGCGUUCGGGACGCAGAGGCCGCCAGUUCAAAUCUGGCCGCCCCGACCA
Molecule: transfer RNA, 78 nt
Filed under: Bacillota bacterium
Lineage: Bacteria; Bacillati; Bacillota
Also listed under: 3 other names
Description: Firmicutes bacterium (compost metagenome) tRNA-Pro
Rfam family: tRNA
About the family: Transfer RNA (tRNA) molecules are approximately 80 nucleotides in length. Their secondary structure includes four short double-helical elements and three loops (D, anti-codon, and T loops).
Source: RNAcentral